CUGUAAUAUUUGAUCAAUUUGAUGCAUUCUUGCUACAGUAAAUAAAAGUAUUACAAAAAAAAACUUUCUGACGCCAACAUUUUGAACAGUAGUUUAAUAGGUAAGCAGCUACUACAUAACAUUAAAACUGACAAAAAGAUUUGUAAUUGAAAUUUAAUGUUUUGACUGUUCUCUUAAUCUGAGUGUAGUUGAGCCAAACGUGGGUACUUUUUUUUUUUCACACUUCCACACCAUCGCUCGUAACCUUGCCUCUGAUUCACUGAAUGGAGCCGAUGACCCCUCCAUUUCUUUGGUGAAGCUCUCCUACGGUUGUGAGGGGACGUUUAUGAAGGUUUGCGCUGAAAGUAGAGACUCUACUAGCGCACGCCCGAUGUUCUGCGUUCCCCUCACCGUGCCCCUCGGAGAUGCACCACCUACAGAUGCUGGUGUGGGAUCUACGGCAACAACAGUGGCCAUAUAAUUAUGAUUGCAUCCCAUCUCUUGUGCGAUAACCAUUUGGUUCAGGUCAGGAUAUAUGUUCACAAUGACUCCAAUUUUCAUUUUAGUUCAGUUAGCUCAGUCAACAGAAUUUAUGAUGGCAUGUUUUACUUUCACAUCCUACUGCACUGCUAACUCUUGGUCUUUGUUUUAAUUAAUAAGUAGAUAUGAGAAGCUCCUAACUUAUACACCCAACCCCCAUCAUGAUAAUUUAACAACUAAGUAACAUUAAUUAUAUUUCUGAGCUCUGGAUUUUAUAUUGCUUUGUAUAGCUUAAAAUGUUUACUAAAAGGAAAAUAAAAUGGAAUAAAACUAAAUAUUGUUGUUCUUUGUUAGGGGAACAGACUUGCAAAUGCGUUUUA
This 839-nucleotide long non-coding RNA is filed under the name Sinocyclocheilus anshuiensis. RNAcentral's name for it is "lncRNA (ENSSANG00000018464.1)". The record is from RNAcentral. Lineage: Eukaryota; Metazoa; Chordata; Actinopteri; Cypriniformes; Cyprinidae.